AUGUGGAUCUCCAGCCUGCUGAAGGUGGUCAUAGCUUUAAUGUGCCUAGGAUUCAGUGUUGCCCAGAAGGUAACUCAGGCCCAGUCAACAAUGACGGUGAACGAGAAGGAAGCUGCAGUCCUGAGUUGCACUUAUGAAACCAGUGAUACAACUUUCUAUUUAUUCUGGUACAAGCAGCCCAGCAGUGGGAAGAUGAUUUUCCUUAUUCGUCAGGACUCUUACAGCCAACACAAUGCAACAGAAGGUCGCUACUCAUUGAACUUCCAAAAAGCAAUGAAAUCCAUCCACCUUGUCAUCUCAGUUUCACAGCUGGGGGACUCGGCAGUGUAUUUCUGUGCACUGAGAGAAGCCACAGUGAGAGAAGAGUUGGAGGGAAGUGUACAAAAACUUAGGGCUCUGUUGUAG
Non-coding RNA from Chrysochloris asiatica (Cape golden mole), 405 nucleotides. The record is from the annotation of a RefSeq genome assembly. Lineage: Eukaryota; Metazoa; Chordata; Mammalia; Afrosoricida; Chrysochloridae.